CUACAUGGAAAUGUAAGGCAGUGGGAUUGCUAAGUCUAGAGGAGAGGAUUGAAGAAAGAUGUGACACCACUCCACAGAUACAUGGGUUGUACUGGCAAAGGGGAAAGAAGGAGGGAAGUUUUCUUGCUCUCUGCUGUGAAAAGACUUAGCUUAGCAGUUAGGAUAAGUGCUCUAAUGCCAGGGUAGUUGAGUGGUGCAGCAGAGUACCUGGUGAGACUUUAAAUCUCCAUUCCUGGAAACAUUUAAGAAGAACAGGUUAAAAAGACAUUAGUCACUUACCUACUACUCUUCUUGGAGUUUUGGAACCACGUGCACAUUGGGUUUUAGGAAGAUGGAAUGACAACCAGAAUUCUGAGUCUCUGAGCUUUAGAUUUGUGGUACAAAAUGAAGUGAAACAUUUUACAGGUACCAAUUCAUUUGAACAAUUAUACAUUCCCUGCAUCAUUUUCUUGCAAUGCUGUAGGUGCUAGUAUACUGAAAUAUAAAUAUACUUACAUGAAUACACACGUGCUCAAAGCUACAUGCAUGCGAAGGAGUGCUCAGCACUGACAAUGUCCUUUUGAUGCCUCUGAACAUCAACAUCCAAACAGGACUUUUUCCUACUUACAGUUGCUUGCAUGUUCUUCAGAGUCAGUAAACGGAUGGUUAAUUUGAGUCUUCUGUGAUGUAUUGCAAUAAAUCAAUCAUGUGGACCUCGGGAUUUUUAGAGCAGAAGUACUUACAUUAUGGAGAAUCUUUGUGCACAACACAGUAUGAUAUCCUACUGGUGGAUCAUCAUUAACAACAACAACAACAAAAACCACCACCAACAACAAUCAACAUAAAGGAAAAAAUCAGUUUUGAAAUAAAUAUGUCUUUAACUACUGUCA
Anas platyrhynchos (mallard) is the source of this 869-nucleotide non-coding RNA. NCBI's taxonomy places the organism in Eukaryota, Metazoa, Chordata, Aves, Anseriformes, Anatidae. The record is from RefSeq and is a predicted model, not a curated record.